GACGAACGCUGGCGGCGUGCUUAACACAUGCAAGUCGAACGAUGAAGCUGGAGCUUGCUCCAGCGGAUUAGUGGCGAACGGGUGAGUAACACGUGAGCAAUCUGCCCUUGACUCUGGGAUAACUGCGGGAGACUGUAGCUAAUACUGGAUACUACAUUCUCUCGCAUGGGGGUGUGUGGAAAGGGUUUUACUGGUUUUGGAUGGGCUCACGGCCUAUCAGCUUGUUGGUGGGGUAAUGGCCUACCAAGGCGACGACGGGUAGCCGGCCUGAGAGGGUGACCGGCCACACUGGGACAGAGACACGGCCCAGACUCCUACGGGAGGCAGCAGUGGGGAAUAUUGCACAAUGGGCGAAAGCCUGAUGCAGCGACGCCGCGUGAGGGAUGACGGCCUUCGGGUUGUAAACCUCUUUCAGCACGGAAGAAGCGAAAGUGACGGUACGUGCAGAAGAAGCGCCGGCUAACUACGUGCCAGCAGCCGCCGUAA
This 486-nucleotide ribosomal RNA is filed under the name uncultured bacterium. RNAcentral's name for it is "partial 16S ribosomal RNA". It matches the Rfam family "Bacterial small subunit ribosomal RNA", at positions 28 to 523 of the family's 1533-position model. The record is from RNAcentral.